Oncorhynchus tshawytscha (Chinook salmon) is the source of this 1216-nucleotide long non-coding RNA. The record is from Ensembl. Lineage: Eukaryota; Metazoa; Chordata; Actinopteri; Salmoniformes; Salmonidae.
AAGAACAUGUCCCUGUGGUGUAUACCACCUUGCUACAUCGUCUAAAGAACAUGUCCCUGUGGUGUAUACCACCUUGCUACAUCGUCUAAAGAACAUGUCCCUGUGGUGUAUACCACCUUGCUACAUCGUCUAAAGAACAUGACCCUGUGGUGUAUACCACCUUGCUACAUCGUCUAAAGAACAUGUUGAAUCCGAGAAUUUAAUUUAUAUAAAUAUUAUGACAUAUAUGGUGAUAGAUUUUAGCUAUCCGAGAAAACGUCUGUAAAUGAACACAACAACAACAACAACAACAACAGAAUAUUUGACAACCGCUCAGUCAAAACAUAGGAAACACAAAUACACAGCAGUUAAGACACCUGGACACCUGCUUCUGGUCAAAACUAGUGCACUACAUAGGGAUUAGGGUGCCAGACUGGUCAAAACUAGUGCACUACAUAGGGAUUAGGGUGCCAGACUUGUCAAAACUAGUGCACUACAUAGGGAUUAGGGUGCCAGACUGGUCAAAACUAGUAGUCAUCUCUAUAGGGACCUGUGAGAUCUCUAGUGAUCUCUGUUCUCUUUAUUCCUCCAAGAGGAACUGUUGUUGUGCAUUUAAGAUGCCACUCUAGCCUGAUCCCAGAUCUGUUUCUGAUCUCUGGACAACUCCAGUGAUGUCAUUGUUAUGACAAUUCCAUAGGAGUUGUCAAGAGAACAGAAACAGGCACCCAGGCUAAACUGACUGGCACCCAGGCUAAACUGACUGGCACCCACACCCAGGCUAUCCUGACUGGCACCCAGGCUAAACAGACUGGCACCCAGGCUAAACUGACUGGCACCCAGGCUAAACUGACAGGCACCCAGGCUAAACAGACUGGCACCCAGGCUAAACUGACUGGUAUUCAGGCUAAACAGACUGGCACCCAGGCUAAACUGACUGGCACCCAGGCUAAACACACCUUCCACUCUCUCCUUCUCCUUGACUAACUUGUGUGGUGAAUUAUGAUAUGUAUGAAAUUACAAUUGUCUGCACACAUGACAUGUAAAUUACUAUGAAAAGAAAGCGUCUGCUAAAUGUCAUAUAUUAUUGUCUUAGUCAUUGUUUACAAUGAGAUGUUGUAUUUCCAGUUUCCUUCACCAUUUACUGUUCUAAUAAAGUCACAUGACCGUCUUCACCUGGUAUGUCUGUUCUAAUAAAGUCACAUGACCGUCUUCACCUGGUAUGUCUGUUCUAAUAAAG